This 497-nucleotide ribosomal RNA is filed under the name uncultured bacterium. RNAcentral's name for it is "partial 16S ribosomal RNA". It matches the Rfam family "Bacterial small subunit ribosomal RNA", at positions 28 to 507 of the family's 1533-position model. The record is from RNAcentral.
GAUGAACGCUGGCGGCGUGCCUAAUACACGCAAGUCGAGCGAACGGACGAGAAGCUUGCUUCUCUGAUGUUAGCGGCGGACGGGUGAGUAACACGUGGAUAACCUACCUAUAAGACUGGGAUAACUUCGGGAAACCGGAGCUAAUACCGGAUGAUAUUUUGAACCGCAUGGUUCAAAAGUGAAAGACGGUCUUGCUGUCACUUAUAGAUGGAUCCGCGCUGCAUUAGCUAGUUGGUAAGGUAACGGCUUACCAAGGCAACGAUGCAUAGCCGACCUGAGAGGGUGAUCGGCCACACUGGAACUUAGACACGGUCCAGACUCCUACGGGAGGCAGCAGUAGGGAAUCUUCCGCAAUGGGCGAAAGCCUGACGGAGCAACGCCGCGUGAGUGAUGAAGGUCUUCGGAUCGUAAAACUCUGUUAUUAGGGAAGAACAUAUGUGUAAGUAACUGUGCACAUCUUGACGGUACCUAAUCAGAAAGCCACGGCUAACUACGUG